Molecule: long non-coding RNA, 6591 nt
Filed under: Sus scrofa (pig)
Lineage: Eukaryota; Metazoa; Chordata; Mammalia; Artiodactyla; Suidae
Description: lncRNA (ENSSSCG00005004520.1)
Source: RNAcentral
GUCUCCAAUUUAUUUGAAUGGCUUUUAAGAAGCAGAAGGCCAGGUUGUAACAUGAGGUGUAGGACAAGCAUGAGCAGUGAGAGGGAUCCACGCUGACAAGCACGUAGCACCCUUUGUCAUGGGACUGGGUGAACGCGCUAGGAAAAGCAUGGGCAGUCUCAGCACAGGCAAAGGAAGUCCCUAGAUGAAGAAGCACAAGCUCCACCUGCUUAAGGAGGCACUUAAGAGGUUUACCGUGGAGAGCAACCCAGAGAAGCUAGAUUAGAAGGAAAACCAGGGCAGCCCAUGUUUAUAAAAGACAGAAGUAGAGCAAAUGGUAUAAAAUAGGGCUUCUGACAGGUAGAUACAAGCACAUUAAUGUGUAGAGGUUUCAUCUGACUUGUUUUUUUGUUGGUGGGGGGACAUUUAUUCCUCCAUAUCCACAGCAUGCAGAAGUUCCCGGGACUUAAAACCCCCACCACAGCAGUGACAACACUGAAUCCUUAACCACUAAGGCCACCAGGGAACUCCAGAGGCUUCAUUUUAAAUACUGUUCUAAAUUGAGGGUAUCGAGAUGCUUUUCAGUAGAAACUUGAAUUAAGGACAUGUGUGCUAUUAAGUUAAUAAAGAAGUUUGUCUGUACACAGUUUAAAACAGGGGAUGAGCGUGGUUAUCUCCAAGGUCUCAAAAAGAUCCAAACUCUGUGAGUCUGAGUGUAACAUCCUCACCCUCAGAGUUUCUUGGGUCUGAAAAACCCGAUUCACUGGGCCUGGGCCAGAGGGUGCAAACUGGAAAUUCAAAGGCUGGAUUUAGCCUGCAAGAUGUGUUUUAUUUGGCAUGCACAGUGUUUUCUCAAUUCAAAAUAGUUGCCAACAUUGAAAAGUCCAGAUUUCCAGCUUCUCUUGGAAAACGGGGUGGAACAUCCGGCAACAGCAGCCCACAUUCCCACACGGCAGCAACCGUGUCAGACGACAGCAUAUGUGUUGUCCGUUUUGCAACUAUCCUUACCUAAUCCUCUUUGCUCAUUGACGUCUCCUGCCCGACACCAGAGUUUGUGGCCUGGUCAGGGUGUCCAGUCUAUGUGGAUCUCAUGAUUUUCUACCUGGUGCAGCUACAAGCAUAGCCUUGGGGCUUUUACCCUAAUUCUGUAGCUGACCCAUCUUAACAGUUGGCCCAUGUAGGUGUAUUCACCUGCAGGCCAGGAGUGUGGGAGCCAAGGGUCCCAUCUGCAGAGUUUUGGUUUAUCUUACAGUAACUGAAAAGUUGCCAGUUCGAUUUCAGUUUUGUAAACUGAAUCCCAGAGGCCUCUUGGGGAUGGCUCAUCAGGCAGAUACUUCCUGAUCAAGGCCAAGGGUAAGUCACUUCUGGGCCAGACUAGAACACCCAAGCAGAGGAAGGAAUCCCAGUCUAGGCUGGGCUGGGCCAGGAAGGCAGGAAAGAAGGCAGCUUUCCUAGCCAUGGCCAUGAGGUGACCAGGGCAGCUAUGUACAGUUAGGUUUUAAAGGUGCCAAGGAGGUGUCACUCACACCUCCUUGAUAUGGCUCUAUUUGCAUUUGCACAGUGCACUGUCUGCUCAACUGUACAUGUGGGCCCCAAGACUGUCAAGGGGAGGGAAGAAACAAAUAGAGAUGGUGAGGCAAGUGCAGCCAAAAGUGAUUCUACCAGUUUGUCCCCAAGACUGCAGGGAUGAGGGGUGGAAGGCAGAGGGUUAGAAGCCAAGACCCUGCUGGCCAGAGACUAAAAGCUGGAGAGAUAGAAAAGGGGCCUGGCCUCAGAGGACCCCACACUGCACAUGCGUAAAUGCCCAUGAGAUGAUAGGAAGAGCCAGCAGUAAUCCCAGGAAGCAGGGCUGGCCAUCAGUACGUGGGGCCCAGGACCCUUACUUAACAGAGAUAACCGUCCUGCGCGCGCGCGCGCGCGCGCACACACACACACACACACACACACACAGACAUCAGCAGAGAUAUCUGCCUAUUACACACACCCACAAAAACAUGCACACAUGCAGUUUUUACCCUGUUGCACACUCACAUGAAAUGUGCCUAUACAAGCAAUCACAGUGAUUGUUGGUAAGAGCAAUCAGCUCACCACACAGGUAUGUUAGCAAACAUUUCCAGAGCACCGAAAGUCCUUUUUGUCCAAGCUACCUGCAGGCGUCCAGCACAGCACCAAGUAACGUGGAAGGAGAGAAAAAUAACAACCAGUGAAAUAUAACUGUUACUGAAGCCAGCAGCUGAGCCUUGGCCUGCAGCGCCACCUACUGGUAGGAGGGGUACUUUGUACUUUGCUUGAAGAUUGGGUGAAACCUGGGACACUGCUUCUCAGGCAGCUCCUUCUAAGAAAGUCACCAACAAGAUGCUCUUCUCCUUCCUCUUUGUGUUCUGUCCGAGUGGGGUGAGACCCUGGAAUCCUUGGGGUUUCAGCACAGCAAUGGAGAAUGAAUUUUCAGGGCCUCACACACUGCCCCUGGAGAGCAAUAUCCAACACCAACAGAGACGGCAAAUAGGCUCUUCGUCGCUCAUGCCAGCUCCAACCCACUAGUAGUGGCUGGCUGGAAUGCUGGGUCAAGGAGGAUCCUGAGGCCAAGUCUGGGCUUCACAUGGAAGACUGCCAUGAUGGAACAGCGCCAGCCACCACGGCUGUGGGCAGGACUACUUCUACACGUGCCAGUCCCUAAAUCUGAUUUCUCCAGAUCCACACUUCCACCGUGAUGGGGUAUGUAUGUGUUUAUUGCUCACUACCUCACCGCACAAGAAAACUGCCAUUUCUGACUUUACCAGAGUUUUACCUCUCACUUGAUCGGUAACUUCUGAGCCGGCUACUGUCUUCCUUUGGGACCAUCUUCGUGAAGAGCUUCUUCUUGCUUCCACAGGGAGCAUAUGGAUGACUCGUUAGAUCUGAGUCCUUUUUUUCUUUUUUGUCUUUUGGGCUGCAUCCAUGGCAUGUGGAAGUUCCCAGGCUAGGGGUCAAGUUGGAGCUGUAGGUGCCAGCUUACACCACAGCCACAGCAACGCCAAGAUUCAAGCUGCAUCCGCAACUACACCAAAGCUCGCGGCAAUGCUGGAUCCUUUAACCCACUGAGUGAGGCCAGGGAUGGAACUCGCAUCCUCAUGGAUACUAGUUGGGUUCUUAACAACAGGAACUCCCAGAUCUGAGCCCGUAAGUCCGCAUGGGGCACUUCACUUUAUCCAAAACUAAUAUUUAGCUAAGGCACAUCCAAAAGCACUUAUUACUUCCCAAGAGGCCCUGAGAGGGCAAUGACGAGCUGAGAACAGCAGAGCCAUGCCAAGCAGAUGCUGGACAGCAUGCUAGGCUCAGCCCUCGCCAGGGGUCCCACUCCCUGCCCCUCACCCAGCAGCUUGGGAGAGCACACUCAAAUCAAAUGCAUGCAUCAACAUUCCAAAUUACAACGGGCCACAGGUCACUUGAACACCAUCAAACCUUGAAAUCUUCAAUCCCCAGAUGCCAAGGGUCUGCUGUGUUUAGCAUCAAGGUUCUCAGUUGGUGCCUGUAAUCCCAGCCUGCAGAUGGGCACGGAACCCCCUCGUGCUGCCCCCUCUGCAGCUGAGCCAGCCUCUACCUCCAAAUGUUUAGGUGGAUGGAAGCUGGUUUCCCCACAGGUGGGGGAUGUUUGCCUUAACCCAGGGGGUCAGCAGACUUUUUCCGCAAAGAGCCAGAGAAAUAUUCCCAGCUCCUUGGUCUCUGUUGAAACGGUUCAACUCUGACACUGAAUUCAAAAGCCCAAGACCUAUGUAAACAAAUGGGCAUGGCUAUAUUCCAAUAAAAGCUUCUUUACAAAGAUAGGGGUGGGCUCGAUUUGGCCCAAGGAGCCACAGUUUGCCAAACCCAGCAUCGGCCCAGUAUAAACUGGGGUUGUCUGGAGGUACUUCAGGGCUCUGCAAAGGUUUGGCCUUCGUUUCAGUUCUUAGCUCUUUAGGAAGCUGGUAACAAAAAUGUACCCAUUUAAGUCUAUCAUGGCAUUUUAACGUACAAGAAGUCAACAUGUUGAGAGACUGUGAGCUGAACACCUUUGCUGUGAAGCUCUUUUGGCCACUUCUCUGCACAUGGAUGGGCCAUAUGGUGGAAGAGUUGAGCAACUGAGUCUCAGCAUCAGACACACGUGAGCUUGAGUCCUCCUGCUGCCACUUAUUAGCUGUGUGACUUUGGGCAACUGACGUUACCUCUCUCAACCAGCAUGGCCACAGGGCACCACCAAACAGAGCAGACACUGGCCACCAUGCUGGCACGGCCUCCUAGAGGCCCUUUGUUCCUGGGUUGUAGGAAGAUGGAGGGGCCAGGGUGGCUGAGGCUGUGGGGGGCUGAAAUGUUCAUUUAUGGUUUCAAUAAUAGUUUGGACACUGGCGUCUCUCAUGGCCCAGGGCUGUCCAAAUCUAUUAACAGUGCUCCAGUGAAAUACACAGAUUUGCUACACCUUAUUUUGCUGCUUCCCACAUCAUACUCUCCUGCUUCCUGAGACAGCCGGCAGAAUCAACGAUGUUUCUUGAGAGGCCCCUGGGGCAGGACCUCUUGGUAUCUGAAUCUCUGGGAUUCAUCUUAAUUAGGUGACAUCCGGUGCUGCCCUCACAGUGCAUGUGUCCACCCCAGGGGUUGAGUUUCCUCUCUCACUUCCUUUUCAUUUCCUCGAAGCUCUUCUUAAGUCUUGCAGCAUCUCUGGCCAAGCCUAGAGCUUUGGCAGAGGGAAGAUCUCCCAGCCAGGCCCUCUGCCUGAGGUCUCCUCUGUUGGCCAGAAGGGUCGUGACUGUUGAUGGCAAUGGCCUUGUGCAAAGGCAUCCUUGUCACUUGCACUUCCCCUGAUAAGGUGUCCACAGCCGCGGCCUUUGUCCAGCCACCCGGCACAGCGUUGCCCACCACAACAGCCAACCUCUCGGUGGCUCCAGCACUGACAGAGGAAGCCCAGCCAGGGACUCUUCUCACCCAAACUGUUGCUCAUUUCGCUUUGUUCUCCCUCCUGGACUAUCUUCCUGACACGACCAUCUGCCCUACACUGCCCAGAACCUGUGCCCCUUCAGACCCUGGGCCGAGUCCUCAAAAGAACACAGGUCAGGCCCCAGGUAGCCUGUCAGCCCUUCUCCUGUCCCCCGCCAGCGUUCCAGCUCCCCUGCACACACCUCCAGGCUCCUGCCCCCUCCGAUGAUACCUUUGGCUUUCUUCAUCAAGAUGUCACGGCUAGGACCAGAUGUCACAGCUAGGACUCUCCAAGGGCACUGGGCAAUCCGAUCCCAUCACGACAUCUGCUCACCCCUUUGGGUCUUCCUGAGGGAGCCACCUCCCUCUGAGAGAGCCAGGCUGGUCAGCAAAGGAGGAGGCUGUCAAGCAGUGAGAAUCCUUCCCUGCAAGUGGUGACAAAGGGGCUGCAGGGGCUCCUGCAGGGAUGGAGAGUUUGCCAAUGCACCGCAGGGGAAGGCCACCUCUUCCUGGAGUCCCUGGCACAGCAUCUUAGUGACAAACAGCUCACUACCUUCACCCACAAUUCCACACAUUUCAGCUCCUUCCUCUCUAAGCGGUCACUGCCUCAGACCAGACCUCCCCACGCCUCCUUUAUCUCUCCAGGCAGCCCUUCCCUUGGGCUCAGCCUGAACGACUUCCCAUUUCAGCCACUGAGCUUUCUUCCCCUGCAUUUGAGCUCACAACAGUAAACCCCAAGUCUCUACCCCCUCCCCCGCUAGCAGAGCUGCUUGGCAGUCCAGCAGGGUGCAGUCACCGAGGGAGUGAGGGUUGAGGUGAGGGGGUUGGCGGGCAGGAACAACUGAGCUUUGGCUUAAAAGCAAAAGCAGAGGAAGCACUAGCAGGCCCACUAAAGCUCCUUCCCAGGGAGGGCCUGCAGUGCCCCCUGGUGGCCAGAGGAGAGUUUGCAUGCAGGUUAAGUUCUUCCAUUCCCCCCGCCUUCCCCCCCCCCCCCCCCCCCCCCCCCCCCCCCCCGCCCCCCCCGGACCCCUGAGGACUCAGAUGAGGGGAUGGCAGGAAGCAGAUAGAUCAUCUUGCCCAGUGGUUUCCAAACGUGUAAAAUUGUAGGGAAGGUUGCUGUGGAUGACCGUGCGUCUUGCCCAUUUGACAAAGGCCUCUGGGCUGAGGCGUCAGUAGGGGCUGAAAUCUCGCCUAUGUCCUGCUAACCAAGCUGGGUACCCCAGCAUGGUCUGGGUCACCCAGAGGAAGGGGCGUCUUUUCAUGAUCAUUCUGGAGACAGUGUCCUUCUGCGAUUUGUACCAAGGUGCCAAAUAUACCAGGAGCAGCCCUGGCCCAGAAUGCUUCCUCCCAAGAGGGUAAUCUUAGAAAACCAAGCUUCUGUAGCUAAAGGAGAGUUUGAAAACCACCUAAAAGAUGGGGAAACUGACUCAUCAAGCAGUGAGGGUUCUCCCCUGGAAGUGGUGACAAAGAGGUUGCAGGGGCUCCUGCAGGGGUGGAGAGCUAGCCAGUGCACCGCAGGGAGAGGUCACCUCAUCCUGGAGUCUGUUGCAAGGGAACUUAAGGUCAUGCACUGAAUGCCAAGACAGAGCUUAGAAGCCAGAUCCCUUCUUUCUCCAAGCAGCGUUCUUUAUACUACACUGAGCUAGUCUCAUAACCCCCCUUUUGAGGCAUCCUGGCUGCUCUGAC